ACGAACGCUGGCGGCGUGCUUAACCCCUGCAAGUCGCACGGAAAGGCCCUGCUUUUGUGGGGUGCUCGAGUGGCGAACGGGUGAGUAACACGUGAGUAACCUGCCCUUGACUUUGGGAUAACUUCAGGAAACUGGGGCUAAUACCGGAUAGGAGCUCCUGCUGCAUGGUGGGGGUUGGAAAGUUUCGGCGGUUGGGGAUGGACUCGCGGCUUAUCAGCUUGUUGGUGGGGUAGUGGCUUACCAAGGCUUUGACGGGUAGCCGGCCUGAGAGGGUGACCGGCCACAUUGGGACUGAGAUACGGCCCAGACUCCUACGGGAGGCAGCAGUGGGGAAUAUUGCACAAUGGGCGGAAGCCUUAUGCAGCAACGCCGCGUGCGGGAUGACGGCCUUCGGGUUGUAAACCGCUUUCGCCUGUGACGAAGCGUGAGUGACGGUAAUGGGUAAAGAAGCACCGGCUAACUACGUG
Molecule: ribosomal RNA, 467 nt
Filed under: uncultured bacterium
Lineage: Bacteria
Description: partial 16S ribosomal RNA
Rfam family: Bacterial small subunit ribosomal RNA
Source: RNAcentral